CGAAUUGUGGGGUGGCGGUUUUUAGAAAAUUCAGUCUAACAGUUGCAGAUUGUGGAGCACAUAAUCUAUCCAUCCUUGAGAGAGCUAGCACUCUAGAAGGAUAGAAGACGUUCGUAUGGAUACCAUUGAGGGUGUUCGUUUGAAAAAGCAGCACCAUCAGUCCGGCAUUGUAUCUUCUCGACGAUAUUAACAGGUUAGUCUCAUAUCCUUCCUUUGAAAUAAAUGAAGCACUCGGAUUCUGGGAAAGGAAAUCAAAG
This 257-nucleotide long non-coding RNA is filed under the name Manihot esculenta (cassava). RNAcentral's name for it is "long non-coding RNA (MESC_LNC011523)". Lineage: Eukaryota; Viridiplantae; Streptophyta; Magnoliopsida; Malpighiales; Euphorbiaceae. The record is from RNAcentral.